GAUGAACGCUGGCGGCGUGCUUAACACAUGCAAGUCGAGCGAAGCAUUUUCGCUGAUUUCUUCGGAUUGAAGCGGAUCUGACUUAGCGGCGGACGGGUGAGUAACGCGUGGGGAACCUGCCCCAUACCGGGGGAUAACAGUUAGAAAUGACUGCUAAUACCGCAUAAGCGCACACGGAGGCAUCUCCGAGUGUGAAAAACUCCGGUGGUAUGGGAUGGACCCGCGUUGGAUUAGCCAGUUGGCGGGGUAACGGCCCACCAAAGCGACGAUCCAUAGCCGGCCCGAGAGGGCGACCGGCCACAUUGGGACUGAGACACGGCCCAA
RNAcentral lists this ribosomal RNA (324 nucleotides) under uncultured bacterium. RNAcentral describes it as "bacterial SSU rRNA". It matches the Rfam family "Bacterial small subunit ribosomal RNA", at positions 28 to 334 of the family's 1533-position model. The record is from RNAcentral.